GUCCAGUUGACGUAAUGGUAAAUUACAUUUUAAGUGACUCAUUCCUGGGCAAGUUUGCAAUGUGAUAAUCAGAUUUAAAAGAAACUACUUGGCUUUCUUGUGUGGGUGUACUCACAAUUUUUUAAAAGUAUGAACCACAGUUAACUGGUGGUCUCAGGGGUAGUGAAACACUCACUUUUUUUUUUUAAUGGUUUAGUUGACAUACUUCAGAUAUUGACCAUCCUGUGUUAGUGAUUUUCGAAGUGACUCAGAUUAGCCAUGGUUUGUGUUGGCGUAACAAAACUGUUAAAUGAUUGUUGAUUAUAGUUUUAAGUGAAUUUGUCUCUCUUUUAUGAGGAACCCAGUGCAAGUCACUAAAUAUUGUCUAAUAGUGACAUCGGCAUAACACUUGUAAUAGCUAAGGUUAAUUGAGCUUCAAGAAUUGUUACCAUUAAA
This 435-nucleotide long non-coding RNA is filed under the name Bos taurus (domestic cattle). Its description in RNAcentral is "long non-coding RNA NONBTAT021948". Lineage: Eukaryota; Metazoa; Chordata; Mammalia; Artiodactyla; Bovidae. The record is from RNAcentral.